AUUGAACGCUGGCGGCAUGCCUUACACAUGCAAGUCGAACGGUAACAGGUCUUCGGAUGCUGACGAGUGGCGAACGGGUGCGUAAUACAUCGGAACGUGCCCGAUCGUGGGGGAUAACGAGGCGAAAGCUUUGCUAAUACCGCAUACGAUCUACGGAUGAAAGCGGGGGAUCUUCGGACCUCGCGCGGACGGAGCGGCCGAUGGCAGAUUAGGUAGUUGGUGGGAUAAAAGCUUACCAAGCCGACGAUCUGUAGCUGGUCUGAGAGGAUGAUCAGCCACACUGGGACUGAGACACGGCCCAGACUCCUACGGGAGGCAGCAGUGGGGAAGUUUGGACAAUGGGCGAAAGCCUGAUCCAGCCAUGCCGCGUGAAGGAUGAAGGCCUUCGGGUUGUAAACUGCUUUUGUACGGAACGAAAAGCCUCUUUCUAAUAAAGAGGGGUCAUGACGGUACCGUAAGAAUAAGCACCGGCUAACUACGUG
This 482-nucleotide ribosomal RNA is filed under the name uncultured bacterium. RNAcentral's name for it is "partial 16S ribosomal RNA". It matches the Rfam family "Bacterial small subunit ribosomal RNA", at positions 30 to 507 of the family's 1533-position model. The record is from RNAcentral.